AAAGAUUUUAUAAUAAAGAAGCUGCUAACUAUCUUUAAAAGCAUAUAUUAAUGUUUAAUCUUUA
Molecule: transfer RNA, 64 nt
Filed under: Pseudoregma bambucicola
Lineage: Eukaryota; Metazoa; Arthropoda; Insecta; Hemiptera; Hormaphididae
Description: tRNA-Ser
Source: RNAcentral